Molecule: ribosomal RNA, 638 nt
Filed under: uncultured bacterium
Lineage: Bacteria
Description: bacterial SSU rRNA
Rfam family: Bacterial small subunit ribosomal RNA
Source: RNAcentral
AAAGCGAGCGGCGGAUGGGUGAGUAACACGUGGGGAACCUGCCCCUAAGUCUGGGAUACCAUUUGGAAACAGGUGCUAAUACCGGAUAAUAAAGCAGAUCGCAUGAUCAGCUUUUGAAAGGCGGCGUAAGCUGUCGCUAAGGGAUGGCCCCGCGGUGCAUUAGCUAGUUGGUAAGGUAACGGCUUACCAAGGCGACGAUGCAUAGCCGAGUUGAGAGACUGAUCGGCCACAUUGGGACUGAGACACGGCCCAAACUCCUACGGGAGGCAGCAGUAGGGAAUCUUCCACAAUGGACGCAAGUCUGAUGGAGCAACGCCGCGUGAGUGAAGGAGGUUUUCGGAUCGUAAAGCUCUGUUGUUGGUGAAGAAGGAUAGAGGUAGUAACUGGCCUUUAUUUGACGGUAAUCAACCAGAAAGUCACGGCUAACUACGUGCCAGCAGCCGCGGUAAUACGUAGGUGGCAAGCGUUGUCCGGAUUUAUUGGGCGUAAAGCGAGCGCAUGCGGAAAAAUAAGUCUAAUGUGGAAAGCCCUCGGCUUAACCGAGGAACUGCAUCGGAAACUGUUUUUCUUGAGUGCAGAAAAGGAGAGUGGAACUCCUUGUGUAGCGGUGGAAUGCGUAGAUAUAUGGAAGAACACCA